RNAcentral lists this unclassified non-coding RNA (218 nucleotides) under plant metagenome. RNAcentral describes it as "partial contains small subunit ribosomal RNA and internal transcribed spacer 1". The stretch from base 1 to 47 matches the Rfam family "Eukaryotic small subunit ribosomal RNA", at positions 1785 to 1831 of the family's 1831-position model. The record is from RNAcentral.
AAAGUCGUAACAAGGUUUCCGUAGGUGAACCUGCGGAAGGAUCAUUACCGAGAACGCGUCCUGCUGGGCGCAUCCUCCCCAUCCCUUUUGUUUACUAUACCUUUGUUUGCUUUGGCGGGCCCGUCUCGUGACCGCCGGCUUCGGCUGGCCCGCGCCCGCCAGAGGACCACAAACUCUGAUUAUCAUGCCGUCUGAGUAUUACACAAAUACGUUAAAAC